AUUGCCCAGGAAUCUUGUUAAAAGGCAGAUUCUGAUUCAGUAGGUCUGGAAUGGGGCCAAGAUUCUGCAUUUCUAACAAGCUCCCAGGUGAUUAGAA
Molecule: microRNA precursor, 97 nt
Filed under: Equus caballus (horse)
Lineage: Eukaryota; Metazoa; Chordata; Mammalia; Perissodactyla; Equidae
Description: mir-544 microRNA precursor family
Rfam family: mir-544 microRNA precursor family
Source: Rfam by way of RNAcentral